This is a non-coding RNA of Acanthosepion pharaonis, 109 nucleotides long. The record is from the annotation of a GenBank genome assembly. Lineage: Eukaryota; Metazoa; Mollusca; Cephalopoda; Sepiida; Sepiidae.
UGGCCAUAUACGUUGAAACACCGGUUCCUGUACGAUCACCGAAGUUAAGCAAUGUCGAGCCUGAUCAAUACCUCGAUGGGUGAUCGCUUGAGAAUUCCAGGUACUGUAA